CCGAGUGAGGGCCCUCUGGGUCCAACCUCCCACCCGUGUUUAUUUUACCUUGUUGCUUCGGCGGGCCCGCCUUAACUGGCCGCCGGGGGGCUUACGCCCCCGGGCCCGCGCCCGCCGAAGACACCCUCGAACUCUGUCCGAAGAUUGUAGUCUGAGUGAAAAUAUAAAUUAUUUAAAACUUUCAACAACGGAUCUCUUGGUUCCGGCAUCGAUGAAGAACGCAGCGAAAUGCGAUACGUAAUGUGAAUUGCAAAUUCAGUGAAUCAUCGAGUCUUUGAACGCACAUUGCGCCCCCUGGUAUUCCGGGGGGCAUGCCUGUCCGAGCGUCAUUGCUGCCCUCAAGCACGGCUUGUGUGUUGGGCCCCGUCCUCCGAUCCCGGGGGACGGGCCCGAAAGGCAGCGGCGGCACCGCGUCCGGUCCUCGAGCGUAUGGGGCUUUGUCACCCGCUCUGUAGGCCCGGCCGGCGCUUGCCGAUCAACCCAAAUUUUUAUCCAGGUUGACCUCGGAUCAGGUAGGGAUACCCGCUGAACUUAAGCAUAUCA
RNAcentral lists this ribosomal RNA (543 nucleotides) under Penicillium sp. Its description in RNAcentral is "eukaryotic LSU rRNA". The stretch from base 177 to 329 matches the Rfam family "5.8S ribosomal RNA". Lineage: Eukaryota; Fungi; Ascomycota; Eurotiomycetes; Eurotiales; Aspergillaceae. The record is from RNAcentral.